This 76-nucleotide transfer RNA is filed under the name Rhizoctonia solani. RNAcentral's name for it is "tRNA-Met". It matches the Rfam family "tRNA". From Rfam's summary of the family: Transfer RNA (tRNA) molecules are approximately 80 nucleotides in length. Their secondary structure includes four short double-helical elements and three loops (D, anti-codon, and T loops). Further hydrogen bonds mediate the characteristic L-shaped molecular structure. tRNAs have two regions of fundamental functional importance: the anti-codon, which is responsible for specific mRNA codon recognition, and the 3' end, to which the tRNAs corresponding amino acid is attached (by aminoacyl-tRNA synthetases). tRNAs cope with the degeneracy of the genetic code in two manners: having more than one tRNA (with a specific anti-codon) for a particular amino acid; and 'wobble' base-pairing, i.e. permitting non-standard base-pairing at the 3rd anti-codon position. The record is from RNAcentral. Lineage: Eukaryota; Fungi; Basidiomycota; Agaricomycetes; Cantharellales; Ceratobasidiaceae.
AGCUUCUUAGCGCAGUGGAAGCGCGCGGGGCUCAUACCUCACCCCGAGGUCCUCGGAUCGAGACCGAGAGAAGCUA